GCCGACGCAUGAUUCCACUGGGUGUCACAUGUGUUCUUGAUUCGAACCCAUUUCUAUGUUGUCAAUAUUUGCAUUAGAGUUUCGUUUAGAGUCUCUCUUCUGUCAUGUCCCCUCAACCGCUGUAGUCAGGCAGUUGCUUUUCCUCGGUGUUUCCACUCCCAUAGUUUAUCCUUUGCUUAUGAAUAGUGUUUUUUCUCCUAGAUCCCUGCAGAUUGUUCAGGGACAUUACACCACCACCAGUGGAGAAGUCCAUUACAUUCUAUUAUACCAUAGUGUAUUAGUCUCUGUGUACAAUGUUCUCCUGGUUCUGCUCCUCUCGCUCUGCAUCACUUCCUGGAGGUUGUUCCCCUCUGGAGACUUUUGAUGGGAUUAAGUCCAACUUGAUUGUGUUGGAUAUACCCCGAGGCCAAAACCUCCUGGAAGGCUGGAGCAAUAUGGAGGAGCUCCCUGCUGUGACCAGGGUGCCCACUCCAUGCUCCCUCUCCAGCUCCUUCCCCACCACCUGUGUUUGACUCUCUUAAUAUGGCACAGCCCUGUCAGCAAGGUACACCCUCCAGACAAGAGCCUUUGCCUGUUCUGCUGGAGGCUUAGCGCUCUAGGUGUGUGUGUGUGUGGGGGGGGCGUCCUGGGACCUUCCUUCUGCCUUCCCCUUAAACCCGAGUGUUCUCGAAUUCCAGCUUUUAGGGGGCAUACCUUUUGAAAUGAGUCCAGCAUGAGGGUUCCUUGGUUCUUUUUUGUUGUUAGGUUUGAUUUUUAGUACACUAGUAGCAUUUAGUUUGUAAUUGGUAAGGAAGGGUUUUCAGGGGUCUGAACUUUUGCUACCUCUACUCCACCAUCUUGACUCUGCUUCUCUCUUUCCAACUCAUUCUGAUUUUCUUUGGAGGUCUUCUGAAAUCAUUCUGUUCAUCAUUUCUUAUAGUAUAAUAGUAUUCCAUCAACAUCAUAUAGCACAAUUUGCUCUGCCAUUGCCUAGUUGAUGGAUAUCUUCUUCAACUUCCAAUUAUUUGCCAAGACAUAAAGAGCAGCUAUUAAUUUUUUUUUACAAGUAAAUCUGUUCCCAAUUGUUUUUAUCUCUUUGGAAUGUAGACUUACUAGUGGUAUUACUGGACCAAAGAGUAUACAUUGUUUUAUAGCCCAAUAGGCAUAGUUCCAAAUAGACAUUCAGAAUGAUGGGAUGAGUUCACAAUUCCACCAGCAGUGCAUUAAGUAGUGUCCCCAUUUUGCCAAAUCCCCUCCAACAUUUAUCACUUUGCUAUGUAAAGAUUGAAAUUUAGGGGAUUCUGAGGCAGGUAGAAAUUAGUUUCUCUCUGCAAGGAGUAUUAUAUUUUCAUGAGGUUUAUUAAAGAUUCCGGAUUAAAGAAAAUACAGGCUAAGAAAGCACGUGACUAGGACAGAGAGAGGCCUAGACACAACCUCACCUACAUUAUGGAAAGAGCCACAUCUGCUUGCAAGCGGAAACAGGGAAGAAAAGAGGCCCCAAAGCCUUUGCAAUCAGGUUAAAUACCCCAUCUUGUUCUUGGCCCAGGUGAGGUUACAAAGCAUUAUGGGGAAGUGGAGCAAGGGCUUGUGGGGACUGAAGUCCAGAAUUCAAAUCCAUUUUUUACAGCUAUUAUAUUGUCCAGUCUGAUAGAUGUGAGAUGAUACCUCAGAGUUGUUUUAAUUUGUAUUUCUCUAAUCAAGGGGGAUUAAAAACAUUUUUCCAUAUGAUUAUCAAUAGCUUUGAUUUCUGCAUAUGAAAUUUACUUACUCGUAACCUUUCAUUUCCAUUGAUUUUCAAAGGUUGAUUUUGACAGCACAUCACUAUCACAGUCUUAAUUGUCUUGGGGUCCUCUGGAUAUUGAAAAAAUCUGAAUCAGAAAGACUUAAUAAGUAUGCUAAAACUAAAAAAAAUUGCAUCUCUGUCCAAGGAAUUAUAUUGUUGAAGUUAUCUACCUGGGCAGGAAGUGAAUUCAUUGAAGCAUAUAUUUAAAGCAAGAUAGAACCAUAGAACAUUGUAUCCAAUCACUUCCUUUUAAUAGGUGAAGAAGUGUGAAGUCACUUAAGAUCAUUUGGCAAUAAGUAGUAGAGAGAAUUUGAACUCAGAUUUUGUGAUUCUUAAUCUAGUGUUCCCUUUAUUACAUAUUAUAGUCCUCUAAGCUCAUAGAAACCAUAAAAAUAAAGUAUAAUUUUGAUUUCUCCUUGAGGGCCUUUAUCAUCCUCAGGACUGAAGGACGGCAUAUGCCAUUCUCAAGUAUACGGAGUUUGUUCACACUUAAUCUAGCACAGAAAGAGGGAAUUUAAGUUCAUUUGAUUCUUCAAUUUCAGAAUGGCCAAAGUCACUGGAGAAAAAAGUAUUGAUUAAAUGUUCAUUUCUGAAUUUAUAAAAUGAUUUAGCUAUUUUCUCACCUCAGGGUUACAUUGUUAAGGGACAAGAUAGUAGGGAAUAUAAUUAGUUAUACAUGAGUACAGCAAAUACAUAUCCAUGUCCAUUAAAGGGAUGCUAUCAAGAAAAGAGGAUGAAGGAAGGUGGCUUUGCAGUCCCAAAUCUCAAACUAUACUAUAAAGCAGUGGUUAUCAAAACAAUAUGGUACUGGCUAAGAGACAGAAAGGAGGAUCAGUGGUGUAGACUUGGGGUAAGUGACCUCAGCAAUAUAGUCAAUGAGUUUGGUUUUUAAAGAAAGGGGAAAGAGUAUUUCCAGGCAGGCCAUCUCUAUUCACCUUGAGUAUCUCCAUGAGAGCUAUUGAGGGAAACACAAUGGACCAAGGCCUUGAAUUCUUAACAUGAGUUUCACUUGUUGGGAAUUUUAUAGUGGAUUCUUUAUUUUUAUUUUUUAUGGGUUAGACUAGGUAGCCUCUUAAGUACCUUAUAAUUCUGGGAUACUAUAAAACUUCAACUAUUUAAUGGACCAAAAUUUUAGUGACGAAGCUGUAGGUAUACAAAGAUUUAAACAAUAACCAUUCCCCUCUUAAUAUUAUAUUCUGUUAGAAAGAGGAUCAUUUAUACAUUUUGCUUCCCUACAUAAUGGCUGACCAAUCUUAGUCUCAGUGAGAGCUCUGUAAGCCCCUUCUACAGAUUUAGUUGCCCUUAAGGCUUGCAGCUAGUGUAUGGAAGGGGGAGGCCUGUUUCUGACUUGCUUGGUUAUAUAGCUUGUGUUGGAUUGCCCUCCGAUUUUACCCCAUGUGAUAGAACUUUGCUGUCAAUCUUCUAGGUUGUCUUACAGAAGAAAAUUAUUUCACCUCAUCCUUUUCUUGGGUUCUGCUACUCCAGAAUUCAUUUUGACAUAUUCUUUUUAAAGUUGUUUAGAGGGGGAUUUGGUAGAGCUCAGGUGAGAAUUUUCACUACCAUUUUGGUUUCACAGGAUGGAUAUUUUUAGGAUUGAGACACAUGAGAAAAAAGGAGGCUGAUAACCAUGCUUAUAAGAGGAAACUCAACAUAUCUGAUUGAAAAGCUUUAAUUCUGUGAAAAUUAUAGAAACUAAAAUACUAAAUACAUUUAAGAUUCAUGAAUCAAAAAUGAAAGUCGAGAAUAGGCAGAAAGUGAAGAUAAAUAAUGAACAGAGUGUGGGAAAGAAAUCCUUUCUAGAAAAAAAGUACAGAAUGUUAUAUUUUAAAAACUAAUGAACAAAAAUUGAAGGGGAAUAGAGGAUUAGGGUUUUUAAUUUGACUUUGUGGAGUGAAGAGGGAGACUUAAAUAACUAGAUUAAAGGAAGAAAGAAAAAAUGGAACUCAAGUAAAAUGAUUAAAUUAGGGAAAAUGGUAACAAAUUGGAGAUAGAGUUGGUGAGGAGGAGAGAAAGAACACUAGUGGAAAUAAAGUUGCCUCAAGGAGAUUAAGAUAAAAUAACUGAAGAAACAAAGUAUUGUAUUCACAGAAGAAGAAAAUCCUGUUUUGAUUAAAUAUCUUUGUGGCCAUAUCUAUUUGAAAGUCAGACGUUAUACCCUGACUUAUGAAUAUAACACCUUGAUUGUAGCUUUUAUUUCUUUAAUGAGACAGUGUGAUUUAACUUUUAUUAUUUUGGUUUAAAAUGCCUUUCCUAAAACCAAAACCUACCAGAAUAGUCAGAACUGCCUCAAUAGAAAGUGAGAGGCUAAAAUGAUGGAAGCGUGAUGCAUAUAAAGUAUACUAUACUUUUAAAAAAUACUUUAAUUACAAUUUAGAUUUUUUCAUGCAGUUUUACAGAAAGGAUACCAAACAGUGAAUUCACCAAAAUUAGUCACUUCAUGACAAUACAAAUACUGUAAAGGUUUGAAUACAUAUUGUUUAAUCUAUUUUUUCAUAAAACUGUUGGGGCUGACAUUUCAUACAGUGCUACUAUAAAUGUUUAUGAUGCCAUAUUAUCCCAAAUAUUUCCAAAAGACAUUUUAUGAAUACUAGCUUUUUAAAAACUCUAACCUUUCAUCUUAGAAUUGAUACUAAGGCAGAAGAGUAGUUAAGGGUAAGGCAAGAAGAGUUAAGUGAGUUAUCCUGAGCCAUACACCUAGGAAGAAGGCGUUGGCAGGAACUGUGCAAAGCUGUUGCUUGAAGAGAUUUAUAGAGGAGGUUGCGUGGAUUCCACCAACUAAAGCUUAGUUCUGCUCCACAUGACCCUUAGACAGCAGGAUGUUUCCAAAGUCCUGCUAGGACCGCUGUCUCCCUACACAAUAGAAUUUUUGUGUCAUUUGAAGAGUUUCUUCCAAGUAUUGCUCAAAAUUGAAUUUAUGGAAUGACCUACGGUCACAUUUGAACCCAGGACCUCACAUCUCUAGGCCUGGCUCUCAAUACACUGAGCCACACAGCUGUCCCCACUCCCCUUUUUUUGAAACCUAGCUUUUUUUAAACCAAAAUGUAUGAAACUCUAAGAAGGAUUUCUUAUUUGUUGUUCAUAUCACGCAACUUAUAAAUGAAAAGCUAAGUUAUCAUGGAGACAUACAUACAUUUAUACAUACAGAAGCAUAUGUCUCACCCUGACCUUUUGUUGGCCCUCCCACUCCACAAUUUGAUUUGAUGCUUUAUUUUAUAGUUGUUUGAAGGGUGAUGUUGAUAGUCCUGACGGAUUGCCUCUAACCUGCCAUCUUGGCUUUGUCCCCUUUAGGCUAGUUCUCUUUUCAUAAGUUUUUUUCCCCAUGACAUGCCUUUCUUUUCUUAUUUUUUCUCUCAAAACUAUCAUCUCUUUCUUUAAUUCUUCCAUAAAUUCUUGUUGUCCUUGGGUCCAAGUAGAAUUUUUCUUUGAAGUUUGUUUGUGACUAUUUUCACAUUGUCUUCUUCUGAGUUUAUGUCUUAGUUUUCUCUGCUUUUGAAUGUGUGUGUGUGUGUGUGUGUAUUCGUGUUCAUUUUCUUAUCUCUUGACUUUGAACUUUAUGUUAAAAUUUGGCUUUGUUCACAUGUCCCAAGAUUUAGGCUCUUUUAUGGUGGUAUUUUCAAAGCUAGUUCUGGGAAUCUGCGAGUUUUUGUUGAUUCCAAGGUACUGUGGAGAGGUUUGUUCAAAAUGCUUCUGGUCUGCACUCUACUUUUUGCCCAGGAAGAGCUCCUGUUCCUCUACAGUCACAAAUACUAGUGCUCUCUUUGCCUUGGAAAUAAGACCAGGCCCCAUGGUCCCUUGUGACUGACCAUCAGCAUUUCUCUCUGCCCUGGAACUGUGAUCCAGGCCUGGGUAUAGGAAAUAGAGUUGCCAAUCAGCACCAGCUGUACCCUGUUCCCCUAAUAAGGAGCAGAAAAUCCUAUUGACCUUAAAAUCUAAUUUGGACUGUAGAAUGCAAUGAGUAUGAUUUUGCUUACAACCUUCAGGGCAAGCCAAGAAGUAAGUUAUACAGACUUUUAAAAUCUUCCAAGUCUCUUCUAUUCACAAUCUCUCUCAUGAAGGCAGAAAAAUUUACUGGAAAGAACUCUUUCCCUAGGCACCAGAGUAGUGACUUUAAUCCAAUUUCCUACUUUCUCUCAUAGGACAUGUAAUCGUGAGCCUUAGAAGAGAUAUGUUUUGAAAUCUAGUUAAAUCCUCUUUACAUGUAUGCUGGUAUGCCGUUAUUUGGGGAAGAUUGUUAAGAAUCAUAGUCUCAAUUUUUAUGACAUUUUUAUUGACCUUUAUGUUUUUAAUGAAAUAAAUUUUUUUUCUUGUAACUUCAUAUGCUUUCGGGGUUCCAGCAAUGUGGUUUUAUUAACAAGUUUCCAGCCAAUCUAGUGUUAGCCUUGUUUGGUUUUGAGAGACAAAAAAAAACCUAGUUAAGAAUGAAUGUCUCCUCCUCCUCCUCUUCCUUCUCCUCUUUCUUCGUCUUUUUCUUUCACUUCAUUGAACGUCUUUUUCUUUCACCUCAUUGAACACAGAAAUUUUUGCAAUAGAUCUUUCCUUUUUGAAGUAACCAGUUUAGAUACCAUGAAUAUGUUAAAAGAAAGCUUUAGUUGUGAGUAUUUGGAAUGCAGGAAUUUUUUGUGUCUGGAUCCCCUGGUGUCAUCUUUUAAUUCCAAGCCUUGAAGAAAAAUGGUUCCACUGGGCCCCCAAAGAAGUACGAAGAAAUUGAGUUUAAGGCUAUGCCUUAAAAGAAAGCUAAGGAUUCUAAGAAGUAGACCAUAAAGAGGGAGCACAUUCUAGGAGUGGAGGAACAAACCUUGCAUAGAGGUAGGAGAUGGAAUACCAUGUGUAAGGUAAAGCAAAUUUUUAAGUUUGCCUCAAAUAAUAAUGAUAAUGAAAAUAAUAAUGGCUGAUUUUUUAUAGAGUUUUAAGACUUAAAGAGUGCUCUACUAUUUCAUUUUAUCUUCACAACCUGAUGUUAUUCCCAAUUUAUAGAUAAACUCAAAUUCGGAGUUUCCUUCCCUUGAAUGGAAUAUGAAGUGUAUUAAGAAAACUAACGUGUGGUGGUUGUAUUGUGGUCGUGGUCAUUGCCCAUUUUACUGGAAGAGGAUCGAAAUUAUAUCACUGGUAAUAUUGUUUUGGCUUGUCCAUAAAUUGUAUUUAAGUGAGGCAGAGUUGUACCAAGGCAUCAGAAACCUGAAAUGGUAGACCCAUGCCAGAGGAACUAGAAAUUGAAGCAUAUUGAAUCAGGAGACAGUGAGAUAGGCAGACCUAUGUGGUGGAGGAUGAAUUUGACAAGGAAGAGACCUGAGGGAAUGCCACGUUUAAGAGGUUAUUUUAGUAGUUUUACAAGAGGCCAUCAGAGCCCAAACUGAGUUGGUAGUCAUGUUGAUGCAAAGAGGAGGACACAUUGUGGAGGUAAAAAUGAUAAAAUUUGGCAAUUGACUAGAUAUGAUAUUAAUAAAUUCAUUCAGGGGAAGAGAGAGGGAGAAGUCAGGAAAUGAGGUCCUAUUUUUUAGAAGAGGAAAGAUUUUUGUUUUGAGGCAUGAAUGCUGGGAGUUUCAUUUUCUAGGAACUUUUUAUUUAAUAGAUGUCACAUUAACACCCUACACAGUAUACUGUUAACACUGUGAAUGCAUCAUUUUUAUAAAAUUUAUAAAUUUAGUUUGGCAAGUUGGUUUCAAGAAAUUAAUUAUACAUAUAUAUCAGACAGAAUUAUUGUGCAAAAACCAAUAAAAAUUUCAAUUAAACAUCUAAAUAAUAAGUUUAAUCGUAGUCUUAAGCUGCAUUACCUGAUUUGCAUAUAUUUUCAUUUGAAAAAUAUGUUCUAUAAGGUGAACAUUGCUCUUUUGGAACAUCCAAGCUCUGUUAGUUAUUUCUGCUGCAUAAAUGGGACAUACAUCAUUUUAUCAAACCCAUUUUUGUUGAGUCUGCAGUUAUUGAGGAAAAAAUCUCCUUUUUCUCUUAAAUUGCUUAAAUUUAGAUAGUGCUUUAAAUAUGGAUGUUUUGUGCGAAUUAUAGAUAAAGGAGGAGAUAGUAGCAUAAGACAUCUGAGCAAUAGGAGAUAAGGAAUAGAGAAGAGAAAAUAAUGGCUAAUGGCCUCAAUUUUUCUGUAAAUUAUAAGGUCAGGUUUUCAGCUGAGAUACUUAAGGGUAAAGGGGACAAUGAGGGAUUUGAGGAGGGAUAAAAAGAUUUUGUAGAGGUACUCUAGAGAUUGAGUUGAUGAGGGAGAUGUUGUAGCAUUGGGUAGCAGCAGUAAGGGACCAGUCGAGUUUGCAUAACAUAAAUUUACUGGCUGGAGUCAUCAUAUGUGACUUUCUCCACUUUCAUUGAGCAACAUUCAUAUAGGAGAGAAGACAAUGAAUUGUGGUAGUGUUAAAAAAUACCAAGGUUUAUUAUAGGGCAAUGAGUGAUAUGAUGAAUUAGCUAUGUGCCCAACAGAAGAAGACAGUAUAACUAUUUCACCAAGGGGGUCAGGAUUGGAAAGAAAUAAGGGAAGAUCGUUUGGGAGAGAACUGAAGGGUUAAGGAAUUUGAAGUCAUUAUAUGUACAGAGGAGUGACUUAGUGAUCUUUGACAACAGUUAUCAGGAUUUUAAUUGAUUGAUAUAUAUUAAUUUUAAGAAACUCAGAAGAGGACAGAGUACUGAGUGCGGAGUACCUGAGAAUGGCCGAGGGAAUGUCAAGAAGUGUUCCAUUUUCCCUAUCUUAACCACUGAGCCAAGGAGAAUGAGUGAAGGGGAAGCCAAUAAUGGAAAGGGUGCUCAGGGAUGCCAUGUCAUCACUGUGGAACCAGCUUCCAUUAAUAGCCACGUGUUCUCUAGUGUAUCAAUUUGUGUAGCUUUCCUCAGCAUUAAACAGCAAGUAUUUCUGUACCCUUAUCCUUUAUCAUAAACUGAAUUAUUAAAUUUAAGUAGAGGAUUUCACAUUUUUAAUCCCUAGAGGCCUUAAAAACCCUCAAGACAUAGUUUGGGGGUUAUCAAGUGUUUAGAUCUGAGGCCUCUUUGAACUCUUCAUAAUUAUUAAGGAUCCCUCAAAGUACUUUUAUUUAAAUCUUUAUAUUUACAUAUAUAUAUCAUACUUUAUUUGCCAUAUUAGAAGUUGAAAGCUAUUAGUGUGAUGAAAAUACUUUUGACCAUAUUGACCCCCCCCCAAAUGCUAUUCAUCUGAGCCUUCAGCUAGUUGUAAUCUUUUUUUGGCAGAAGGUCUUAUCUUGAUUUGACGUGCUACUGACUGCUCAACGUGGUAGUUCCAGGUUGGGGUGGCUGUGGCAAUUUCUUAAAAUAUGACAGUGAUGACGUUUGCUGCAUUGACUCUUCCUUUAACUUGAACACUUAAGAGUCCACUCUAGGGUUACUAAUUGGUCUAAUUUCAAUAUUGUUGUUUCUCGGGGAAUAGAGAGGCCCAUGAAGAUGGAACAAUUUGUCUGUGGAGCAAUUAGAAUACGCAACAUUCAUCAUUUAACUUCACUGUCUUAUGUGGGGAGGGGUCAUGAUACUUCAAAACAAUUAUAAUAGUAACAUUAAAGAUCAUUGUUCUCAGAUCACCAUAACAGAUAUAAUAGUAAUGAAAACAUUUGAAAGAUUGUGAGAAUUACCAUAAUGUCAUAGAGACAUGAUAUGAACCUGUGCUGUUGGAAAAAUGGCACUGAUAGACUUGCUUCAUGCAGAGUUGCCACACACUUUCAAUGUAUUAAAAAAUGCAUUACCUCUGAAGCUCAAUAAAGCUAAACACAGUAAAACAAGGUAUGCCUGUAUGUUUCUCUAAAGUUUAAAGUAUGUUUUAAAGCUCAGGCCUUUGAUAUCAUUAGUAUUGGGAAAUUCCUAUCACCAAUGCAAAUCAACAAGUUGUCCAUAAUUUACAUUAUUGGAGAAUUGUCUUAGAUACCAAGAGAUUAGGUGACUUGCUAAUGGUCAUAUAGCCUGUGUCAGAUGCAGAACUUGAACCUUACUAGGACCAUAUUUCCAAAUAUACAAAUUCCUUAUGUUAGGGGUAACUUUAUGGUUGGACUGAAUAUAUAUUUUUAGUUGGUCGCCAGGGAUUUGAUUUCUAAAUCCCAAUGAAAUACUCAAGUCAGAAUGAAAUUUUAUUGUUGUUUAUAUACAAUAGAAGGAAGAAAUUAAGAAUGAGGGAGAGAGGGGGGAAAGGGAAGAUAGCUACCUUGGCCUGGUCUGAAUCUGGCAGGGGUUCAGAAGCCUCAGCUAAGGGGUCUCUCCAGAGGCUAGUGACUCCAGAAAGCACAAGGGAAAGGGAGUCUCAAGAGAUGGACCUUUCCAGAGGCUGGUGCCUCCAGAAAAACCAAGGAAAGGGGAGUCAGCCUUAUCACUCACCACAUACAUGAUCAUCUAAGAGAAGCAGUGUGAGGUCUCAUGCUGGAGCUCCUCCACAGUCAAGUUCCACUGCUAAGUCCCUCUCACAGGAAGUGACGUGAAAUAUAAAGGCAGUUCUUUAAGUCAUUUCCUGUGUCUCACAUGUACCAAUGAUAACUUAAAUUUGGCUUUUGGACACCCCAGGGGGUCAGUCAGUUAUUUCUGAUUUGUCACUUGCUAGCACAGACCAUCCUCCCCCACACUUAAUCCUUAAGUGGGGGUGUAUACAUUCCUGUUUGCUAACAUUCUAAAGACUAAGCAGGGUGGAAUAAAUCUAAAAUCCACACUCAUGAAUCAUAAAGGAGUUUACUUUUAGCCUGACUUUUACCACCUUCUCAGAUGUCCUUGUCUUAACAAGUUGCUGCCUGUACCUAAAUAAUAGACCAGAUGCUCUGCACUGGGACACUUGGGGAAAAUGCAUAUUAUGAGGAAAUGGGACCCUAAAAAGUUAGGUCUGGGUCAGUAUGGAGAGAAGGUAGUAAUACCUGUCAAGAGUAAAUGACUAAGUAUCAGGAGCCUUUCUUCAUUAUUCUUCCUUGUCACGAGAUAAUAUUUUCAACAUUGUAAAAAUGCUCAUUGUUUUGGACACUUGGUUCUUUUCCAUUACCUCUAGAAAGCAGAUUCCUAGUCAACCAGUAGCUGGCUGUGUUUUUGUUUGGGGGCAUUACAUGAUCACUAAUUACUUGUGUUUUUUAUUCCCAUUCAUAGUUACAUUUGUAAACAUAAGGAAGAUCCUUCCAGACUAUUAAUGAGAGAGCCAUACAAGAUCACUUCCAGCAUGGCCAUGGACGUCUGUUCAUAUUAGAGGGCAGAGGCACACAGCAGGACGUGAUAGGAGAUUUAAUCAAAGAUGUAAAAGCUCAAGCCCAGAGAGGUGAAGUCAUUUUUUUCCACCCCGAGUGUACAUAGAUGACCUCCCUCCUUUUGUGCCUCAGAUUCUGUUGAUCACCAGUGAUGAAUCCCCUUUCCUCCUCCUUCUUGAAGUCGAUCCCCCACGUGGCUUGACCAUCUGUAAAGUGCCUGUGUUAGCAUCACUGGAGCGGCUCAUAGGUGUCCCCAGCAAAACUACCUUUAUAAGUUCAAGAGGUACCUGAAACAGGUAAGCCACUAUUUUUGCAUCUUUCAAGGAUCUUGAUUGAAAGGAUCAGAAAAAGGGAUUUUAUGAAUGUAUGUACUUCCAUUAUAGUGUUCCUUCUUAGGGACAUUGCUACUUGUAAAGCAAGUGAUUUUAAAACGGCAACUUAGCUUUAGUCUUUAGAGAUAGCUAUCAGUCUGUACAAAUGCAAAAGUUAAUUGACUGGAGGAGUUCAAUUAUCUCAACUUGACUGAAUCAACUAUUCUAACCAAAAUUUAGAUUCAGGUGUGCCUGCAAACAUAUUUCUAAUCAUUAUGAGUGUUUUCAUAUAUGGGUUUUUUUGAGUCUACAUAUCUAUUAUCUUUCUAUCCAUUUUAUUUUCUAAGGUCUCUUCUAUCAUUUAUUUGGGCACUUAAACCAAAGUGACUCAGAAAAAUAGGUAUUUUGUGUAACAUUAUGUUAAUUGAGCAGAAAUUGGUCUAAGAAUUUUUUUCCAUUUUUUUCUUAGUUGAAUAGAAUGUUAUUCCUAUUUAAAAGGGAUAAUCUUUUCUAUCAGAGAAUUUUGUGUUGUCUGAACUCAAGUGAAAUGUACUACUCUAUCCUAAAACUUCAGUGCCUUUGAAAAAUCAGAUUGCUUGUCAGUGAUGUGAGAUCCUUAGGAAAAACAAGAUAACUUCAAGAAGAGUUGAGUAAGCUUCAGGAAUUCACUAAGUAAAUUGGCUUAUGAAUAGUGGCUAGGCAAAAAAAAUUGGAGGAUAUCGUGGGUGCAUAAAGCAAUAAGGGUAAGAGUGAUUUGUUAAGUGGAAUUUCUGAGAACCACUUUUUUGAGGGAAACAUUUUGUUAAACUAUAAAAGGUUGCUACUUUAGCAAAGUGGCAAUUUUCUGUUUAUCUGAAAAGAUGAUUCAUGUGGUUUGAAAAGUGGAGAAUAGUGCAAGAGAUCUGUGUAGAAGGGAAGUCAAGGAAGAGUUAAUGUGUUCCUUAGUUAAUUCUAUCCAAAAUUUCUUCCAAGGUCAUUCAAGAGGUAAGAAAAUGGUAAUCUUUCUAAGAAUCAACUGAAAAAUCUAUAAUAAAAACAGAGCAACAGACUCAGAUAUAUGGGCAGACACAGAAAAUGUUAUUAUAGACAAUGAGUGAAUAGGUAGAGAUAUUGAUAGUUCCCUUAUGAUGAAAGUUGCUUGUGUAGCAAAUUAGAUUUUGUACUUGGAGUAGUAUAGUACAAGUGAAGGGAGUUAGAUAUAUUCCAUGGCCUAAGGACCCUCCUUGGUGGUUCUCUAUCUUAGAAGCAGACUAGGAAGAUACCUUAGGACUAGAAAACUCUUUUGGUAUUUCAGAAUCAUAAUAAUCCACUUCCUUAUGAUUCCAUCUCUCCUCCAUGACCCUACCUUCUAACAAAGGAGUUCACAUAAACAAAACUAACUGAAAUAUUAUCUACGCCGUCUAAUAUAGGUCUUACUCUGGUAUCUGUAUUCUUCUAGCUCUUUGCAGAGAGGAGAGAGGUAUGAUUCACUAUUGUUGUUCCUCUAAACUAUAGAGGGAUUACUGAAAUAAUAAGAGUUCAAUAGGUUUUCAAAUUAUUUUGCUUUCUAUUUUUUGUGGUCAUGUAGAAAUAUAGAAAUUGUUCUACUGGUCCUACUUAUUCCUGUCUGCAUUGUUUCCUACAAUUCUCAAGUCACAAAUUUCCCAGAAUUUUUCAAAUACAUGAUUUCUUAUAUCACAAUAAUAUCACCUAUAUUAAUAUAAUAUUUUUAGGUUUUUGCUACCAUAACAAAUAUAUAUUUUAAACCCUUAUCUUCUGUUGUAGAAUCAAUACUCUGUAUUGGUUCCAAGACAGAAGAGUAGUAAGUGCUGGCCAAUAGGGUUGAAGUGAUUUGCCCAGGUUCACAUAGCUAAUAAGUGUCUGAGGGCAGAUUUGAAUCCAAGACCUCCCAUCUCUAGGCCUGGCUCUCAAUCCACUGAGCCACCCAGUUGCCCCCCCCCAUACUGUAACAAAUAUUGCUACAAAUAUUCUUGUAUAUUUGUGUAUGUAGUCAUAUUAUCAAGUAUAUCACAAAGGAUAUAAUUGCAAAAAGCAGGUUAUGAUAGUUUGAUUUAUAUGAUAAGAAGUAUAUAAAUUAUUUUGAGUAAUAUUGUAAUUUUUACUCAAUUAGCAUGACCCAGCCAUAGAUAAGGAACAUUUAAAAAUAAUUUUUCAUCUAUUUACAGAGUGUUUUAUAGUAAUAUCUAAAUAAGACUGGUAUAAGAUUAGCACGGAUAAAUCUCAGAUAUUUUAUAUAUUCUAUAGUUUUUCAGGGUGAAAUUUUUCUAUUUUGAUCUAUUUAUAUGAAAGUAUAAGUUGUAUAAGCUAGUGUUUGUUGCUAUUCCAUAAAACACUAUAAUUUGGUUUUCUUUAUAAGCAACAGUGAGAAUUAUAUCUUUCAGGAAAAUAUAUAUAGCAUUAAUUAAAUUGAGACACUGUGGUAUAGUGCCGAGGUGUCAGACACUAUCUGCCAGCAGCAUGCAGCCCACAAUACUUCCCUUUGAGCCAAACCAAAUGCUAAUGUAUUUGGGAAAUUUUUAACAAAAUAAAGAAAAAUAAAACAGAAACAAGAUCAUGUUAGUUUGUGGCUAUCUGAGUCAAUAUGUGUCCUGAAGGGAUCUUUAGGUAUAGCUUAGUGGCCCCUAAUUUCUUGUUGAGUUUAAUACUCUAGUAUAGUAGAUAGAAUUGCAUCCUUUAUGCAAAGAUGAUCCGAGUUCAAAUUCCACCUGAAACACUGUGACGGUAGCAUUCUUCAAGUAUAUUCCUAGAAUUUAGCUGCAAAACUGGUUGAGAUCUGAUCUGUGUUGGUGGAGGGAGUUCUCAAACUAGAACAUUUUCAUGCUGAUGAAAUCCUAAAAAUUCUUGUGUUGGGAUUCAGUGGAAGUAAUACUGAAUUACAAAUACUAUCACCAGUUUCCUUGUAUGACCUCAGGCAUAUUAGCAAGUUUAACAUGUAAACGUGUAGGCAACAUAUGUUCCUGAAAAUUAUGACUCAUCAGUUUUCAUUCUUUUUUCAAUUCAUUACAGAUAAACCUGAAGUCAUGCAUUACUUAUCCUAUAAUUAUAGUGUUUCAAGAGUUUAGAGUAAUCACAUCUUCAGUACUAUUUAUUGCACGAUUGAAUAUUGUCAGAGGAAAUUGAUAGGAAUAGAAUUGAAACCAUAACAAGCCUGCUAUUUACUCUCUGAUGCUUAGUAUCUGUAUCACCUUGGGCAAGUCAUUUAACCCUCUUGGGUCUCCUCUCUAAAAUGUAGGAGUUGAAGUAUAUGGCUUCUGAAAUCCAUUCCAAUCCAACUAUUAUGUGUUCAGUGAUUAAUAUUACACCUGCUUGAAUGGAAACGCUACCUUGUUUGUAACAAACCAGGUUCUUUUUCGAAGCUGCUGCUUGUCUGGUAGGUACCAAAAUGAAGCUGUUUUGAAAGUAAAUAUUCUAUUUAGUAGAACACGUUUAAUUUAGAUAAUGCCUUUCUCUGGAGAAUUACUAAACACGUGAACUUAGCAUCCCAGACAAGUGUCUGACCUUUAUUUGAUUAAAGCUCUGAGGUCCCUUUUCAGUAAAUCAAGUGUCACUUGAAUUACCAACAGAUGGACAAUCUUACAAGCUGAUCACGUUAGUUUGUUCUAGGAAAAAGACAGUCAUUUUUGUUGUUUCAGCCCCUGGACUCUUAGUAAUAGUCUGUGACCAACCCUGCCUGAACCCCCAGUGAGUUCUCUGCUAACUAACCACUAAUACAGAGCUUCAGAGCAGCUGAUGAUCUAGGAGGGAACACGGGAGAAACACAAAUGAAUCUUUAAAAAGUCAAGAGAUUAGAACUUUAUUGAAAAACGAAACAUGAAGUGCUAGCUAAUAAAGUAUAUUAAAAUCUAUAGAGACUGUCUGCUAGGGUAAUUGGAAUGACUGUCAGAGAUCCUCUCAAAGGAGUAGAAUGCUCAAUUUUCUUUUGAAGUGAGUUGAUUUUUUUGUGUCAAAAGGAAUAGGACAUGAGGAAUGGUGACUUAACAGUUCUCUGGCUAUGGACAGCGUGAGGUUUUGUCGUGUACAGAGAAUGGUGCAAAGGAAAAUAGGAGGUAGAUGACCAUGAAGAAAUUGGACAUCAUAGGACCCCGAGGCCUCUAAACUGGAACAUUGUGGCUGUGCUAAUAGGGAGUCACUGUAGUGUUUGGAAAGUGGCGUGCCAGGUUGGAUCGAAGGUUAAGAGUAGAUGAAUAGAGGCAGAGAUGCUUCAACUGAAAUUCACAUGAAUGGUAGGAAUUUCAGCAUUUGGAGUUUGCUGAAUAGAUUAAUCACGUUGGGAAAAAUAAUAACAAUAAUAGUAACAGAAUAGAAUAAUUGUCUCAAAUAGUAAAAAAAAAAAGAAUAGAGUCAGAGGUCCUCAUUGGAGUGCACAUACUACUUAAGGUCUGUGCUCUUCCACUGUGUUUGACUUUCUCAUAUAAAGAAAGAUGUUUCAUGAGCACAUUCUUUCAUGGCUUAGAGCUCUGUAAAAGUCAUAUAUUUGAAAGAGUACUGAGCUUAAAAUCAUAAGACUUGGGUGUUGGUCCUGACUUGACUACUGAAUGACUGUGUGACUUUGGACAAGUCUCCUCAUGUCUCUUGGUUUCCUUGACUAUAAAAAGGGACUAAUGAUCUUUACUAUGCCUAUGUCACAAGAUUGCUGUUAAUAUUAAAUAAGGUGUCUCACAUGAAAAUGCUUUGUUAAAUCAUAAGGUGCUAUUGAUAAGACCUAGUUCUUAAUAAAUUAUUUUGCCCCAGACUUAAUCAAUGAGGAGCAUCUCAUUAAUAUUUUAGCCUUUUAGCCUAAUAAUAUUAGCCUUUUUAUCACAGUUUUGACUUUGCUUUUAUAUUUUAUAGUGAAUAAAAAUUAAAUUCUUUCCUUGGAUUAUAGGCACUAUUGCUAAUAUUGUUUGAACUUUGUGACUAGGGCUUGCCUAGGUAAGCUUAUUGGAAAUUAUGGGGUAUGUUUAUAUUUGUAUAUUAUUUCUCAGAUAUCUACAGAUUAUCUGAAUGAUACGUAGCACAUUUUAUGAACUGAAUAUUACAUGUGAGAAAUGUUGUUGCUACACCUAUAAGAUUUCCUUUAUUCAAGGUCAUUUCCAAUUGCUUUUGAUUCUCAUCAUCUAAAGGAGUUAUUUCCAAAUAACUCACUUUGUUUCCAAAAAAGGCUACCAAAUGUUUUCAUAAUAAUCUCAUGCUGAGGGGAUGUAAUUGCCUAGUCCCUGUCCCCUAACAAUAUCUGUUUCACUAUGUCAUGAUACUCAGUCUCUGCAAGCUGAAGAAAAUAGAAUGCCAUCUGAAGAAAUAUAUCAAGUCUUCCUUCUGUCUACAUUCAUUAAAUACCCUCCCUUGUUAAGCCAGUGCAACAUAGACCUGCAUUUUUUCUAGUUUGACUUUUAUUUCUUAGCUUAAGAGCUGUAUGCACUGACCCCAGACUGGAUUUGAGUUUAGCAGAAGUUUUGAGAUGGACCUUAGGCAUGAGGAAUCUGCAUGGACCACUGAGAAGCCAUGCUCGGCUUCUCUAAUGUCUGGCUUUGGCGAUUGGGUUAGAAAUAUGGCAUCGUUCAAAGGGCUCAACAGAACUGGGCUUUGAUAGGCAGGUGUUGCAUAGUGGAAACGUAGAAUUUGUCAAAAUAUACCAAUGCAGGUACAUGGAUGUUAAAGGGAUUUUCUUCAUCUCUCCCUCUGUCUCCUUUAGCGGCUGGAGAGCAGGGUUUCUAUGUAGAUGUAAACUGACAGGUUCAGUGAGUCAGGGAACCAGAGCUGAGGAUUCCUUUGCCAAAGAGACCAGUACCUGAGGAGACGAAGUAGCCUGCCCUCUGACAGGAAGUUAGCAGGGACAGUUGGUAAGUGAGGAGAUAAGGAAGCAGCCACUAAGAGUUGAGGGUCUUUACCUCUGGUAUCUCUAGAGAGCAGGAGGUCUGUCUCUCAGGCAAGGAUCUGCUGGCAGUUGGCUAUUGCCAGUUGGGCUGCUAUAGAAAACUGAUAGAAGGAGUGAGUAAGUGGUGGCUAUCUAUUAUUUUAGGGAGUUAGGUAGUUCACGAAUAAUUUAUAGAUAUAGUAGAGUAGAUUAGGCCUCGUGUGACAGACAGAAGAAUCUGUACUGAGAAGACAGUUAGAGAUAGUUUUAGGAAAUUUUAGGUAGUAUUAGGAAUUUUAGGAAUAUUUAUAAGAUUAUAUAUAAGGUAUAUGAGGUAUAAGAUUAAUAAUCUCUCUUUCCUCUUUUCUAUCUUUCCAUCUGUACUUCUUUCUUAAAUUAAACUGCUCUCCUCUCUUUGUUGAACUCCUUAAUUUAACCCUUAUCCAGGGAACUCCUCAACCAACUGAGAUUUUUUAAAAACAUUGAUUAUAGAGGCAAGGAACAGUGUCAUAGCGUCCUUAUAAGUUAGCACAGUUCUAACAAAAGUGAGCAGUGUAUUACAACAUAAUACUUGAGGGAAGCAAAGGGCAACAUAAUGUGGUUGGCAUUUUCCUUAACUCUAUUUGGAGAAAAGAGAGGAUCAAAAAAGAGUGUGAAUCAUACAGUGAUGACAGAUAACACAAAGAACACAGAGCAUCCCAGUUCUUAUUUUGUUUUCAUUUUCUCUAAAAAGAGGAAUGACUAUUACUCUAGAAAUGACAGAACAAAAAUGCUCAGUUAAACUAUAUCUUUGCAUCAUGAAAGAAAUGAAAGGUGUGACUGUCAAACUACCAUCAGCUAUAUUUGUAAGAUCAUGGAAAAGAAAGAGUUAUAAAAUGGAGGCAGAACAAAUUUUGUCUCAGUUUUUUUUUUCCUAAAGGGAGGGUAGUUAGAAGAGAAUAGAGCUUUUAAAUUAUAUGCCAGGGACCUUAACUUCCAUUUCUGGGUAAAUUCUUGAAAGAAUAAUUUAAAGAGAUGGUGGAUUACUAUCCAGGAGGGAAAGCAGUAAUUAGAAACUGCUAUCGUGAUUUUCUGAAAAUAAACAAACAAGACUAACCUUAUUUCUUUAUUUGAAUAUUUCUAAUUAGUAAAUUAUGAUGUGGUUAAAGUUUGCCUAGAUCUAGCAAAGCUUUUCAAAUGCAGAAUUUAAGAAGAUGUGGAUCAUUUGGAAAGAUUAAGAAUUUGUUGGAUGGCUGAAAUCAAAGACUAGUUAGUUGUUAUUGAUGGUUCAGUGUCAUUCAGACAGUAAGAUCUCCCAAGGCUUAGCCCAGAAAUUUGUACUUGCCUCUCUGGUGGUUAACUGUAAGUUGAUCAGAUUUUCAGAUGAUACAUCUAAAGGUGGUAGUUAAAUAUUCUUGAAGACAGUCAGGAUUUGAAAGUAUCUGAAGAGGCAGAAUCAACACUGGGCAGUCUAGUAUGCUGAGAUUCACUAGGGAAAAAUAUAAGGCCUUAUAUUUUUAUUAUAAGAAUUAACUCUGUUCCUUGUGGUGGCAAAAAAUUGGAAAAUGAGGGGAUGCCCUCCAAUUGGGGAAUGGCUGAACAAAUUGUGGGGUACAUUGGUGAUGAAAUAUUAUUGUGUGGAAAGGAAUAAUAAAGUGGAGGAAUUCCAUGUAAACUGGAAUAAUCUCCAAGAAUUGAUGCAGAUUGAGAGGAUCAGAACCAGGAGAACAUUAUACACAGAGACUGAUACAUGGUGGCACAAUCGAAUGUAAUGGACUUCUCUACUAGCAGCAAUGCAAUGACCCAGGAUAUUUCUGAAGGACUUAUGAAAAAGAAUGCUCUCCACACCCAGAGAAAGAACUGUGGGAGUAGAAACAGAAGAAAAACAACUGCUUGAUCACAUGGGUCGGUGGGGCUAUGAGCACCCUGGUGCAAUUAUUAUCAAUAAUAUAGAAAGAGGUCUUUACCAAUGACACAUGUAAAACCCAGUGGAAUUGUGCAUUUGCUAUGGGAGGGGGUUGGUGCAAGGAGAGGGAAAGAGCAUAAUUUUUAUAAUCCUGGAAAAUACUCUAAUCAAAUAAAAUUAAAACAAAGAAAAACAAAAAUAAAAUGGAGGUGGCAUGGAUAAACAGAUUUUGCUUUGAAAGGGAUUUGGGGGAUUUUAUUGUACUCCAAUAUCAUCAUUAGUCAACAGUAGGAUUGGAAUAAUAAAAAAUAAUAUUCAGUGCUCUGUGCCAUGAUUAAUGAAGGGUAUUGACAAGCUGGAGAAUAUCCAGAGGAGGGCAACCAGAACAAUUUGACAGACCUUUUAAAACAUAUAAGAACUGGUUGAAAGAAUUGGAUGAAUUUAAAUGGAAUAAAAGAAUUCUUAGAAUUGACAGGGCAACUGUGUUGACGUAUUUGAAAGACCAUCAUGUGGAAGAACGAUUAAACUUGUUCGAUUUGGCCCCAGAUAGACAAACUCAGAAAGUGCAGUGGCCAAGAGUUGCAGAGGCAAAUUUAGGACACAAGAAAUACAGCUGGCCAAAAAUGGAAGGGUUUCCCUUAAGAAGGGGCAUAUUCCCUCCUGGUAUGCCCCUGGUUUUCAUGCAGAAGUUGGGCAACCACUUGUCUAGUGUAAUUUACCCAUGGCCAUAUAGGUAGUCAGUGCCCAAACUGGCAACUCAGACAAGUAGUUCACCUUAAUCAGAUGAGGAGACUGAGGUUCAGAGUGAAAGGAUUUUAGGUUUUACAGUAACCAGAAGUAAAGGUAGUUUAUAACUUCUUCAGAGGCAAAGACUAUGUCAUUCUUGAACUUUUCUGAGUGAUUUUUGAAAUAAAGAAAGCUUUAAGGAGGUAAUUUGCUUAAGAUCACACAGGUCCUUUUGGGCCCAUCCAUUCUAUAGUCUGCUUUUGUACUGGUAGCAGCCUGUGGAGAUGGUGCCAUAGGACUUGGUCUUGAAACCCAUGUCAUAUUUGACUUCAAUUAAAUCAGUUACUCCCUGAACAUCACUUCCCUUCUCCAUUAGGUGUAGAAGUAGAUAAACAAAGUCUUUUGGAAAGACCUCACAAAGCCUUAGUAAUCUAAAUACCUGGUUCGAAAUUCUGCUUCUUAAGAUUAUUCCUUGCAUGAUCUUAGGCAAGCCACUUUGUUAAAAGGAAAAUUCUGUUUUCAAGUCUUCACCCUGAUAAAAGAGGCAAAAUUGAAGAAGAGAAAAUGUAAAAUAGUUGGAUGGCCACAAGGGAACCAACAGUGGGAAUUCUAACAAGGUCCACUUUUAAAGACAGCUCAUCAUGAUAAGAAUAAGAGAAUUCUAAUAUGUACACAUCUGCAAAAGUGAGUGGGUCAUUGCAUCAUAGCUCCUCACCAUUGCUGCUACAGUCAUAGAGAAAUGAAAUUAGAGAAAAGAGGAAUGGGAUGAAAGCCCGUGUAGCUAUGUGGGGUCGCCUAGGGCACAAAUGUCAAUAACUCAGCAUCUUUAGGUCUCAAGUAUUACGUGAGGCAGGUGGACCAGCUGGAUCCUUCUACCUCUAUAUCUCUAGCUUAUGAGCAAUUCAUAGUUUACUUUGGCCAGAAGGCCAUUUCUGUAUUUAAAGUUAUGUCUUCAGAAGGUCCUGGGUUCAAAUUUGGCCUCAGAAUUUCCUGGCUAUGUGACUGGGUGAGUGACUUAACUUUCAUUGCCUAGCUGAUACCACUCUGCUCCCUUGGAGCAAAUACAGUUUUGAUUCCAAGACAGAAGAUAAGAGGUUUUUGAGAGAUAGUUAGGUCGUCAAGUCUUAAUUUUUAGGAAAAAUGAAAAUAUAUGUUUUGGUCAUGCAAUCUACUGGGGCAUGUAAUACCUUUAUGUAUUUGAAUAACAUAAAAUUUUUAAUUUGCAAUGUCUAAAUGUUAUCAAAAACCUAAUCUUUAAUAUUUUUUAAUUCCUUUUUUUUUCUUCCCUUUGGUCUCCUGAACCUCCCCUUAUUUAGGAGAAAGCUAUGUUCCUUCUCUAUAAUUGUAGUCCCUUAAAUCAUGUUGUGUUUUUUUCAAUCGCAAUGGCAAGCUACUUUAAGAAUAGCCUAUCCUGAAGCAGUGUUUCUAUUUAUAUUAAUGUGAUCCAGGCAUCUCACAGCAACAGAGGCUUUUCUUCUUUUGUUUGUUUGAUUUUUUCACUGCAAAAACCCAAUAUUUUUCAAUGAAGAGCAAAAACCUUUUUUUAAAGGGCAUCAGAGUCAGAAAGAAAUUUGCACUUUAUUAUUUAGCUAAAACAUGUUUUGAUUUAGCUUGAAAAGCUAAAUCCUAAAAUUGAUUGAGACUUUCUUUUAGUAAUCAUUAUCAGUUGAAUAAUAGCUAGUUUUAGGCCCUGAAACUUUAAUAAUCUAAUAUCAUUCAAAUUAAGUUCUUCCUAAAAAGAAAUUUCCAUUGAAGGAACACUUUAGUUUUUUUUUUCUUAGCCACCUUGCUAAUUAAGUAUUAGAAACAUUAGCAAUCAAAUACUUCUUAGCAUUUUAAAGAAGUGAACAUUUCCCAUUACAAAAAAAUACAAUUCAUGUAUACCCCAGAAAAAAAUUAAAAAACAAAUAAAUUUGAUUUCCAUAGAGUACUUAUUGUUUUAUUGGACAACCUUUCUUUUCUUCUAAAUGGGAACAGCAGAGGAGACUAUAAUUGCAAUUUAAUCCCUAUAAGUAACUCCCAGUGUGUAAAUUAUAAAUCAUAACCUUCAAAGUAGAUUGAAUACUUCUUUCAAUAUUAAAGUAACCCUUCUUUCCAUACUACCUUUCCAUUUCUCUUACACUUUUCUCCCUCUCCUGACCUUUCUUGCUUCUGCCAUUUUUGUUGUUUUUGAAUUUUGCUUCUUUAACUUUUAUUUUCAAUUCCAAAUACUUUUUUCCUAUGUAGUCCCUCCCUCACCCUUGGAGAAGGCAAGCCAUAUAAUACUUAUAUGUGCAAAAUAUAUUUCCAUAUUAUCCAUGUUGCCAAAAAAAAAGGCAAGGAAAAUAAAGUGAAAAAAAUGCUCCAUUUGCACUCAGAGCUCAUCAAUUCUUUCUCUGUAAGUGGAGGACUUUUUUCAUCAUGAAUCAUGAGUUUGGAACUGUCAGAGAUCAGUGUUAAUCACAGUAGUUAAGUUUUUCACUGUCGAUCACUGUUAUAUUGCUGUUAGCGUAUACAAUGUUCUCCCUGCUUGGCUCACUUCACUUUUCAUCAGUUCAUAAAAGUCUUGCCAGGUUUUUCUGAGACCAUCUACCUUGUCAUUUCUCAUGGCUCCCCAUGUCCAUGGGAGAUACAGUUGAAGACCUGCUGCAGGUUUUUGAAACUAGGGCUCAGUGAAUAUCUGCUGACCUCAUAUGUGUGUGUGUGUGUGUGUGUGUUCCCUCUCUCUCCUUCUGUUGCUUGGCUUUGUGAUUUGCACUAAUCCUUUCAUUCCUGCCCCCCCCAAAAACCCUUAAAAAUGUAAAAUUGAAAGUGGAAAAAACUGAAACCCCAAAUUGGAGAGAUUUCCACAUGGCCAAAAUGAUGCCCUGGUAGUCCUCUUACCAUCCUUUGCAGGCAACACUGACCGCAGAUAAUAAACUAGAGGCAUUGAAUUUGUGGAUAAGG
Molecule: non-coding RNA, 22591 nt
Organism: Monodelphis domestica (gray short-tailed opossum)
Lineage: Eukaryota; Metazoa; Chordata; Mammalia; Didelphimorphia; Didelphidae
Source: RefSeq, a predicted model, not a curated record